This 497-nucleotide ribosomal RNA is filed under the name uncultured bacterium. RNAcentral describes it as "partial 16S ribosomal RNA". It matches the Rfam family "Bacterial small subunit ribosomal RNA", at positions 28 to 507 of the family's 1533-position model. The record is from RNAcentral.
GAUGAACGCUGGCGGCGUGCCUAAUACAUGCAAGUCGAGCGAACAGACGAGGCGCUUGCUCCUCUGACGUUAACGGCGUACGGGUUAGUAACACGUGGAUCACCUCCCUAUAAGACUCUGCUAACUUCGGUAACCCGUACCUAAUACCGUCUAUUAUUUUGAACCGCAUGUUUCAAUAUUUCAAGCGGUUUUUGCUUUCACUUUUAGAUUAAUCCGCUCCUCAUUAGCUAGUUGGUAAGGUAACGGCUUACCAAGGCAACGAUGCGUAGCCGACCUGAGAGGAUGAUCGGCCACACUGGAACUGAGACACGGUCCAGACUCCUACGGGAGGCAGCAGUAGGGAAUCUUCCGCAAUGGGCGAAAGCCUGACGGAGCAACGCCGCGUGAGUGAUGAAGGUCUUCGGAUCGUAAAAUGCUGUUAUUAGGGAAGAAAAAAUGUGUAAGAAACUAUGCACGUAUUGACGGUACCGAAUCAGAAAGCCACGGCUAACUACGUG